Molecule: transfer RNA, 68 nt
Filed under: Aeschrocoris ceylonicus
Lineage: Eukaryota; Metazoa; Arthropoda; Insecta; Hemiptera; Pentatomidae
Description: tRNA-Ser
Rfam family: tRNA
About the family: Transfer RNA (tRNA) molecules are approximately 80 nucleotides in length. Their secondary structure includes four short double-helical elements and three loops (D, anti-codon, and T loops).
Source: RNAcentral
AGUCAAGAAGUUUUAGUAAACAUGUACCUUGAAAGUACAAGAUGAGGGUUAAAUUCCAUCAUUGACUU